This 253-nucleotide ribosomal RNA is filed under the name uncultured bacterium. RNAcentral's name for it is "partial 16S ribosomal RNA". It matches the Rfam family "Bacterial small subunit ribosomal RNA", at positions 524 to 776 of the family's 1533-position model. The record is from RNAcentral.
UACGAGAGGCCCAAACGUUAUUCGGAAUUACUGGGCUUAAAGAGUUCGUAGGCGGCGCAGAAAGUGGGGUGUGAAAGCCCUCGGCUCAACCGAGGAAUUGCGCUCCAAACUACUGUGCUUGAGGAAGGUAGAGGUGAGCAGAACUGAUGGUGGAGCGGUGAAAUGCGUUGAUAUCAGCAGGAAUACCGGAGGCGAAGGCGGCUCACUGGGGCUUUUCUGACGCUGAGGAACGAAAGCCAGGGUAGCGAACGGG